RNAcentral lists this ribosomal RNA (301 nucleotides) under uncultured bacterium. Its description in RNAcentral is "partial 16S ribosomal RNA". It matches the Rfam family "Bacterial small subunit ribosomal RNA", at positions 509 to 809 of the family's 1533-position model. The record is from RNAcentral.
CAGCCGCCGCGGGAAUACAGAGGGUGCGAGCGUUAAUCGGAUUUACUGGGCGUAAAGCGUGCGUAGGCGGCUUCUUAAGUCGGAUGUGAAAUCCCUGAGCUUAACUUAGGAAUUGCAUUCGAUACUGGGAAGCUAGAGUAUGGGAGAGGAUGGUAGAAUUCCAGGUGUAGCGGUGAAAUGCGUAGAGAUCUGGAGGAAUACCGAUGGCGAAGGCAGCCAUCUGGCCUAAUACUGACGCUGAGGUACGAAAGCAUGGGGAGCAAACAGGAUUAGAGACCCCAGUAGUCCCUGUCUCUUAUAA